AUCUAAAGAGCUGUAAUUUGAAUGUGGUUCUGUUUAUGUUCUGGCAUUUUUGGGUAUUGGCAAGAAAAGGAAGUGGUACCAUUUCAAGCAGAAGAAAUGCUGACCAGAGCCAGAGGUUGAGAGAAGCAGAGAAAUAAGUAUUUCUGAGGAAUAAAGAACAAAGACGAUGAGGCACUGCAGCUGAGCACUUCCACAUAUCCAAUGAUACCAUUGUGCUGAAAUGAGAUAUAAAUUGCAGUAGCAUCACUUAAUGUGUGACCUUGGACUGUGGUGGUUAUGGGACGAAGAAAAGGGGAAAGUAUCCAAACUUUUAGACCAUUCAAAAGAAGGGAUUCAUAUGAAUGUUUUGAAAGUCACAAGAAGAAUAUUCUUUCUUCUUCACAAAGAAAUGGACAACUUUGGAAGUGAAGUGGCGGGGCUAGGAUCUUGCAUUUCACCAAGUCUCUGCCAGGCCUCCCUGGACUAA
This 466-nucleotide long non-coding RNA is filed under the name Phascolarctos cinereus (koala). Its description in RNAcentral is "lncRNA (ENSPCIG00000032448.1)". The record is from RNAcentral. Lineage: Eukaryota; Metazoa; Chordata; Mammalia; Diprotodontia; Phascolarctidae.